This 424-nucleotide ribosomal RNA is filed under the name uncultured bacterium. RNAcentral describes it as "partial 16S ribosomal RNA". It matches the Rfam family "Bacterial small subunit ribosomal RNA", at positions 360 to 776 of the family's 1533-position model. The record is from RNAcentral.
AAUUUUGGACAAAGGGGGAAACACUGAUCCAGCCAUCUCGCGUGUGCGAAGAAGGCCUUCGGGUUGUAAAGUACUUUUGGCAGGGAAGAAACGGCGCCGGAUAAUACUCGGCGUCACUGACGGUACAUGCAGAAAAAGCCCCGGCCAAUUACGUGCCAGAAGCAGCGGUAAUACGUAGGGUGCAAGCGUUAAUCGGAAUUAUUUGGCGUAAGGCGUGCGCAGGCGGUUUGGAAAGAAAGGUGUGAAAUCCCAGAGCUUAACUUUGGAACUGCACUUUUAACUGCCAAGCUAAAGUAUGUCAGAGGGGGGUAGAAUUCCACGUGUAGCAGUGAAAUGCGUAGAGAUGUGGAGGAAUACCGAUGGCGAAGGCAGCCCCCUGGGAUAAUACUGGCGCUCAUGCACGAAAGCGUGGGGAGCAAACAGG